CCUACGGGGGGCAGCAGUGGGGAAUAUUGCACAAUGGGGGGAACCCUGAUGCAGCGACGCCGCGUGGGUGAAGGAGUAUUUCGGUAUGUAAAGCCCUAUCAGCAGGGAAGAACAAUGACGGUACCUGACUAAGAAGCACCGGCUAAAUACGUGCCAGCAGCCGCGGUAAUACGUAUGGUGCAAGCGUUAUCCGGAUUUACUGGGUGUAAAGGGAGCGCAGGCGGCGCGUUAAGCCUGGUGUGAAAGCCCGCGGCUCAACCCCGGGAGUGCAUUUGAAACUGUCCAGCUGGAGUGCAGGAGAGGUAAGCGGAAUUCCUAGUGUAGCGGUGAAAUGCAUAGAUAUUAGGAGGAACACCAGUGGCGAAGGCGGCUUACUGGACUGUAACUGACACUGAGGCUCGAAAGCGUGGGGAGCAAACAGGAUUAAAUACCCUAGUAGUC
This 441-nucleotide ribosomal RNA is filed under the name uncultured bacterium. Its description in RNAcentral is "partial 16S ribosomal RNA". It matches the Rfam family "Bacterial small subunit ribosomal RNA", at positions 338 to 795 of the family's 1533-position model. The record is from RNAcentral.